UUGGAGGGCAAGUCUGGUGCCAGCAGCCGCGGUAAUUCCAGCUCCAAUAGCGCAUAUUAAAGUUGUUGCAGUUAAAAAGCUCGUAGUUGAAUUUCGGGAUCAGUACGCUGGUCGUGCCUUUGGUAUGCACUGGUGUCACUGGUUUCUCCCUUCUGAAGAUCCGUGAUGUCAUUAAUUUGGUGUCGCGGGGAAUCAGGACUGUUACUUUGAAAAAAUUAGAGUGUUUAAAGCAGGCUCACGCUUGAAUACAUUAGCAUGGAAUAAUGAAAUAGGACGUUUAAUCCUAUUUUGUUGGUUUCUAGGAUUGACGUAAUGGUUAAUAGGGAUAGUUGGGGGCAUUAGUAUUCAAUUGUCAGAGGUGAAAUUCUUGGAUUUAUUGAAGACUAACUACUGCGAAAGCAUUUGCCAAGGAUGUUUUCAUUAAUCAAGAACGAAAGUUAGGGGAUCGAAGACGAUCAGAUACCGUCGUAGUCUUAACCAUAAACUAUGCCGACUAGGGAUCGGAUGAUGUUAAUUUUAUAAUGACUCAUUCGGCGCCUUACGGGAAAC
RNAcentral lists this ribosomal RNA (549 nucleotides) under uncultured Glomeromycotina. RNAcentral's name for it is "SSU rRNA". It matches the Rfam family "Eukaryotic small subunit ribosomal RNA", at positions 548 to 1098 of the family's 1831-position model. The record is from RNAcentral. Lineage: Eukaryota; Fungi; Glomeromycota.